This 432-nucleotide ribosomal RNA is filed under the name uncultured bacterium. RNAcentral's name for it is "partial 16S ribosomal RNA". It matches the Rfam family "Bacterial small subunit ribosomal RNA", at positions 29 to 506 of the family's 1533-position model. The record is from RNAcentral.
AACGAACGCUGGCGGCAUGCCUAACACAUGCAAGUCGAACGAGACCUUCGGGUCUAGUGGCGCACGGGUGCGUAACGCGUGGGAACCUGCCCUUAGGUUCGGAAUAACUCCCCGAAAGGGGUGCUAAUACCGGAUAAUGUCUUCGGACCAAAGAUUUAUCGCCUUUGGAUGGGCCCGCGUUGGAUUAGCUAGUUGGUAGGGUAAAAGCCUACCAAGGCGACGAUCCAUAGCUGGUCUGAGAGGAUGAUCAGCCACACUGGGACUGAGACACGGCCCAGACUCCUCGGGGAGGAAGAGGGGGGGAUUAUUGGAAAAGGGGGGAAAGCCUGAUCCAGCAAUGCCGGGGGAGUGAGGAGGGCUUUGGGGUGGAAAAGCUCUUUUACCGGGGAUGAUAAGGAAAGUACGGGGAGAAAAAGCUCCGGCUAACCCCGU